RNAcentral lists this ribosomal RNA (303 nucleotides) under uncultured bacterium. Its description in RNAcentral is "partial 16S ribosomal RNA". It matches the Rfam family "Bacterial small subunit ribosomal RNA", at positions 507 to 809 of the family's 1533-position model. The record is from RNAcentral.
AGCAGUCGCCACGGUAAUACGUAGGUGGCAAGCGUUGUCCGGAAUUAUUGGGCGUAAAGGGCUCGCAGGCGGUUUCUUAAGUCUGAUGUGAAAGCCCCCGGCUCAACCGGGGAGGGUCAUUGGAAACUGGGAAACUUGAGUGCAGAAGAGGAGAGUGGAAUUCCACGUGUAGCGGUGAAAUGCGUAGAGAUGUGGAGGAACACCAGUGGCGAAGGCGACUCUCUGGUCUGUAACUGACGCUGAGGAGCGAAAGCGUGGGGAGCGAACAGGAUUAGAUACCCGCGUAGUCCCUGUCUCUUAUAA